CAGCAAUGUAUAACCAAACGACAACCGUCUCUCUAAAAGCAGGAAGCUUUAUUGCAGUUGGGGAGAGGCUGCCUGGGAGUCAGGAGACGUGAGGGAAUUCCAGGCCUGGUCCUGCCGCCGCUCCGCUGGUAUCCCCUCCACUGUCACGGGCAGGAAGAUGCCCCGCGGUUUCCACUGACUCUCUGCCAGAGAUUCAAGGGCAGGGAAUACAGACCCCACCUCUCAAAGGGAGGAGUGUCAACAUCGCUUUAACAGCACUUCAACCUUCCCUCAGGCCAGAAAAAUGC
This is a long non-coding RNA of Lontra canadensis (Northern American river otter), 287 nucleotides long. RefSeq lists it as uncharacterized. Lineage: Eukaryota; Metazoa; Chordata; Mammalia; Carnivora; Mustelidae. The transcript is spliced from 4 exons. The record is from RefSeq and is a predicted model, not a curated record.